UGAGGAAUAUUGGUCAAUGGGCGCGAGCCUGAACCAGCCAAGUAGCGUGAGGGAUGACUGCCCUAUGGGUUGUAAACCUCUUUUGAUUGGGAACAAAGAGCGCCACGUGUGGUGCGUUGCGUGUACCUUUCGAAUAAGCAUCGGCUAAUUCCGUGCCAGCAGCCGCGGUAAUACGGAAGAUGCGAGCGUUAUCCGGAUUUAUUGGGUUUAAAGGGUGCGUAGGCGGUUUGUCAAGUCAGCGGUCAAACUGCGGGGCUUAACCUCGUAUUGCCGUUGAAACUGGCUGACUAGCGUGGCGUCGAGGUGUGCGGAAUGCGUUGUGUAGCGGUGAAAUGCAUAGAUAUGACGCAGAACUCCGAUUGCGAAGGCAGCACACCGGGCGCCUACGGACGCUGAGGCACGAAAGCGUGGGUAUCGAACAGGAUUAGAUACCCUGGUAGU
Molecule: ribosomal RNA, 441 nt
Filed under: uncultured Porphyromonadaceae bacterium
Lineage: Bacteria; Pseudomonadati; Bacteroidota; Bacteroidia; Bacteroidales; Porphyromonadaceae
Description: bacterial SSU rRNA
Rfam family: Bacterial small subunit ribosomal RNA
Source: RNAcentral